Molecule: ribosomal RNA, 150 nt
Filed under: uncultured bacterium
Lineage: Bacteria
Description: partial 16S ribosomal RNA
Rfam family: Bacterial small subunit ribosomal RNA
Source: RNAcentral
GCUAGUAAUCACAGGUCAGCAUACUGUGGUGAAUACGUUCCCGGCCUUGUACACACCGCCGUCACACAUGAGAGUUGAGAAUACCCGAAGCCCAUGUCAAAGUGGUCGAAGGUAGGCUUGAUGAUUGGGGUGAAGUCGUAACAAGGUAUC